AACUAACGCUGGCGGCGUGCCUAACACAUGCAAGUCGUACGAGAAAGCCGGCUUCGGCUGGUGAGUAAAGUGGCGCACGGGUGAGUAACGCGUGGAUAAUCUGCCCUUAAGUGUGGAAUAACGUACCGAAAGGUGCGCUAAUACCGCAUAAUGCCUGGCAACACAAGUUGUCCGGCCAAAGAAGGCCUCUGUUUACAAGCUUUCGCUUCAGGAUGAGUCCGCGUACCAUUAGCUUGUUGGUGGGGUAAUGGCCUACCAAGGCUGCGAUGGUUAGCUGGUCUGAGAGGAUGAUCAGCCACACUGGAACUGAGACACGGUCCAGACUCCUACGGGAGGCAGCAGUGAGGAAUAUUGGUCAAUGGGCGCAAGCCUGAACCAGCCAUCCCGCGUACAGGAAGACGGCCCUAUGGGUUGUAAACUGCUUUUCCAGGGAGAGAAACUUACGCACGUGUUGCGUGACUGACGGUACCCUGGGAAUAAGCAUCGGCUAACUCCG
RNAcentral lists this ribosomal RNA (496 nucleotides) under uncultured bacterium. RNAcentral describes it as "bacterial SSU rRNA". It matches the Rfam family "Bacterial small subunit ribosomal RNA", at positions 29 to 505 of the family's 1533-position model. The record is from RNAcentral.